UCAUUUAGGUCUAUCCAACCACAGUGGUGGAAGACGACAACAUCCGACGAGGAGUUUGAGUCAACCUCGGGAGAAAGGGCGCUCCAGGUUAAACUGGGAAGGUUUACAUUCCACUACGGGAAGAAGAUGCGCCCGGAGGCGGCUUAGUAGACCAGCUUAGUAGACCAUCCUCGAGGCUUAGUGCUCGGAGGACGGUAGAAGUUUCACGAGCCAUGAUGCUCGGACAGUAGAAGGUUCUCGAGGCAUAUGAUGCUCGGAUGAAGCCAACUUGGGUACCAAUAUUGCUCGAACCCUGGUGGGAGUCGUGCUCAGCUGAGACUCAACCACCUUGAACAGGUUCGAAUUGGUGUCCUAAUGUCUAUUUUAUUGGUACUUAUAGACUUAUAGACAUCGUUGGGUAAAUGAGCUAACAAAAGCCCACUAAAGAACCCAAUC
This 435-nucleotide long non-coding RNA is filed under the name Capsella grandiflora. RNAcentral describes it as "long non-coding RNA (CGRA_LNC000968)". The record is from RNAcentral. Lineage: Eukaryota; Viridiplantae; Streptophyta; Magnoliopsida; Brassicales; Brassicaceae.